CAUGCCGCGUGCAGGAAGACGGCCCUACGGGUUGUAAACUGCUUUUGUCCGGGAAUAAACCUUUCUAUGUAUAGGAAGCUGAAUGUACCUGAAGAAUAAGGAUCGGCUAACUCCGUGCCAGCAGCCGCGGUAAUA
RNAcentral lists this ribosomal RNA (135 nucleotides) under uncultured Sphingobacteriaceae bacterium. Its description in RNAcentral is "partial 16S ribosomal RNA". It matches the Rfam family "Bacterial small subunit ribosomal RNA", at positions 393 to 525 of the family's 1533-position model. Lineage: Bacteria; Pseudomonadati; Bacteroidota; Sphingobacteriia; Sphingobacteriales; Sphingobacteriaceae. The record is from RNAcentral.